CAUUUUUAGUACCAGACUUGCAGAAAAAGCAUAUUCCAGAGGAAGAAGAGCCCAUCAUAGCAUGUGCAGUUUUCCUCUGAUAGUCCACGGUAUUGUUGCCACAGUGAUAAUGACUGCCCCAUGUCAUGAUCUAUCCACCAACAGUAAGAGAAACUUUGCAGUUGAGAUAUUGUUUAACAGAUGGAGUGGUUUCUGUUGGACACUAAGUACCGCUUCACAU
This is a non-coding RNA of Molossus molossus (Pallas's mastiff bat), 220 nucleotides long. Lineage: Eukaryota; Metazoa; Chordata; Mammalia; Chiroptera; Molossidae. The record is from RefSeq and is a predicted model, not a curated record.